Molecule: ribosomal RNA, 350 nt
Filed under: uncultured bacterium
Lineage: Bacteria
Description: bacterial SSU rRNA
Rfam family: Bacterial small subunit ribosomal RNA
Source: RNAcentral
ACUCCUACGGGAGGCAGCAGUGGGGAAUAUUGCACAAUGGGCGCAAGCCUGAUGCAGCCAUGCCGCGUGUGUGAAGAAGGCCUUCGGGUUGUAAAGCACUUUCAGUCGUGAGGAAGGUGGUAGUGUUAAUAGCACUAUCAUUUGACGUUAGCGACAGAAGAAGCACCGGCUAACUCCGUGCCAGCAGCCGCGGUAAUACGGAGGGUGCGAGCGUUAAUCGGAAUUACUGGGCGUAAAGCGCAUGCAGGUGGUUUGUUAAGUCAGAUGUGAAAGCCCGGGACUCAACCUCGGAAUUGCAUUUGAAACUGGCAGACUAGAGUACUGUAGAGGGGUAGGAAUUCUAGGUGUAG